Molecule: ribosomal RNA, 468 nt
Filed under: uncultured bacterium
Lineage: Bacteria
Description: partial 16S ribosomal RNA
Rfam family: Bacterial small subunit ribosomal RNA
Source: RNAcentral
GACGAACGCUGGCGGCGUGCUUAACACAUGCAAGUCGAACGGAAAGGCCCUGCUUUUGUGGGGUGCUCGAGUGGCGAACGGGUGAGUAACACGUGAGUAACCUGCCCUUGACUUUGGGAUAACUUCAGGAAACUGGGGCUACUACCGGAUAGGAGCCCCUGCUGCAUGGUGGGGGUUGGAAAGUUUCGGCGGUAGGGGAUGGACUCGCGGCUUAUCAGCUUGUUGGUGGGGUAGUGGCUUACCAAGGCUUUGACGGGUAGCCGGCCUGGGAGGGUGACCGGCCACAUUGGGACUGAGAUACGGCCCAGACUCCUACGUGGGGCAGCAGUGGGGAAUAUUGCACAAUGGGCGGAAGCCUGAUGCAGCAACGCCGCGUGCGGGAUGACGGCCUUCGGGUUGGAAACCGCUUUCGCCUGUGACGAAGCGUGAGUGACGGUAAUGGGUAAAGAAGCACCGGCUAACUACGUG